CAGCCGCCGCGGUAAUACGUAGGGUGCAAGCGUUAAUCGGAAUUACUGGGCGUAAAGCGUGCGCAGGCGGUUUGUUAAGACAGAUGUGAAAUCCCCGGGCUCAACCUGGGAACUGCAUUUGUGACUGGCAAGCUAGAGUGUGGCAGAGGGGGGUGGAAUUCCGCGUGUAGCAGUGAAAUGCGUAGAUAUGCGGAGGAACACCGAUGGCGAAGGCAGCCCCCUGGGCCAAUACUGACGCUCAUGCACGAAAGCGUGGGGAGCAAACAGGAUUAGAUACCCCAGUAGUCCCUGUCUCUUAUAC
Molecule: ribosomal RNA, 301 nt
Filed under: uncultured bacterium
Lineage: Bacteria
Description: partial 16S ribosomal RNA
Rfam family: Bacterial small subunit ribosomal RNA
Source: RNAcentral